This is a long non-coding RNA of Coccinella septempunctata (seven-spotted ladybird), 472 nucleotides long. RefSeq lists it as uncharacterized. The transcript has 2 exons. NCBI's taxonomy places the organism in Eukaryota, Metazoa, Arthropoda, Insecta, Coleoptera, Coccinellidae. The record is from RefSeq and is a predicted model, not a curated record.
GGCUUCCUCACUGAAAAAUUCAAUGUUGGUAGCAAUGGUGAUAUAUUGAUUGUUCACUAGGAUACCAAUUCUUUUCAAUUGUUUCGUUUAUUUGUUAGGUGAUGGUUUUGUGGUCAAGUUCGUUAAUGGGCACUAAAAUUUCCUCCUCAACAAGUGUCUCGAAGGAUUCUUUAUAAACAUAAAAAAAUCUUUUUUGGCUUUCGUCCUGAGCCACAAUGUCAUCGUCCAGAAAAGAAUAUAACUGGUCCUCCAGGUCAUCGACGUUGGAAAGCAUAUCAUGGAAAUAUUUAUCAGAUUUCAGACCAAAAUAUUUCUUUACCUUCGAUUUGACCCACUCAAGACGAAAAUCCAUCACUCAAAUGAACAAAAUAUAAAUGUAAAUACGAAAAGUUUUAUUUAAAACCGAAAAAUAAGUAUAAAAUUCUUCUGAAUAUAAAUGUAUGUAAUAUUGAAAAUAAAAUAUUUCGUUGUU